GAUGUGGCGUAGUGGUAAUGCAACUGCCUGUGAUGCAGAGAGUUCCGGAUUCGAUUCCCGGUGGAUCA
Molecule: non-coding RNA, 68 nt
Organism: Phthorimaea operculella (potato tuberworm)
Lineage: Eukaryota; Metazoa; Arthropoda; Insecta; Lepidoptera; Gelechiidae
Source: the annotation of a GenBank genome assembly